RNAcentral lists this ribosomal RNA (538 nucleotides) under Streptocephalus echinus. Its description in RNAcentral is "partial 16S ribosomal RNA". It matches the Rfam family "Archaeal large subunit ribosomal RNA", at positions 1991 to 2711 of the family's 2987-position model. The record is from RNAcentral. Lineage: Eukaryota; Metazoa; Arthropoda; Branchiopoda; Anostraca; Streptocephalidae.
CACUGAGUUUUAAAGGGCCGUGGUAUACUGACCAUGCGAAGGUAGCAUAAUCAUUUGCCUCUUAAUUAGGGGCUGGAAUGAAAGGUUGGACGAGAAACUGGCUGUCUCUUUUAAUUAUUUGAAUUUAAUUAUUUGGUGAAAAAGCUAAAAUAGUCUUGGAGGACGAUAAGACCCUAUAGAUCUUUAUAGAUUAGACUUUAAUUCUUUAGGUGUUAGUGAUUUAAAGCAAACUCUAUUUUGUUGGGGCGACAUUGAGUGAUGAAAUAUCUCUCAUAAUGAAAGUACAAUAAUAAUUGAUCUAUGAUCCUUUAAUGAAUUAAGAUAAAGUUACCUUAGGGAUAACAGCGUAAUUUUUUUUGAGAGUUCUUAUCGACAAAAGAGUUUGCGACCUCGAUGUUGGUUCAGGAUUCCUUUUAGGCGCAGUAGCUUAAUAAGGUAGUCUGUUCGACUAUUAAAUUCCUACGUGAUCUGUUCCAGACCGGAACUAUUAAAGGUUCGUUUGUUCAACGAUUAAAGUCCUACGUGAUCUGAUUCAGAC